GAGCGGUAUAAUCCCUUCGGGGAUUAGAGAGCGGCGCACGGGUGAGUAACGCGUAUGCAACCUACCUUUUACCGGGGAAUAGCCCGGAGAAAUUUGGAUUAAUGCCCCAUGGUUCCUUAUGUCUGCAUGGAUUUAAGGAUAAAGUUGAGGCGGUAAAAGAUGGGCAUGCGUGACAUUAGCUAGUUGGGGGGGUAACGGCCCACCAAGGCUACGAUGUCUAGGGGUUCUGAGAGGAUGAUCCCCCACACUGGUACUGAGACACGGACCAGACUCCUACGGGAGGCAGCAGUGAGGAAUAUUGGUCAAUGGGCGCAAGCCUGAACCAGCCAUCCCGCGUGAAGGAAGACUGUACUAUGUAUUGUAAACUUCUUUUCUGCAAGAAGAACGUGCCCUACGAGUAGGGUAGUGACGGUAUUGCAGGAAUAAGCAUCGGCUAACUCCGUGCCAGCAGCCGCGGUAAUACGGAGGAUGCGAGCGUUAUCCGGAUUCAUUGGGUUUAAAGGGUGCGUAGGCGGCCCUAUAAGUCAGUGGUGAAAGUUUGCGGCUUAACCGUAAAAUUGCCAUUGAUACUGUAGGGCUUGAAUCCACGUGAAGUAGGCGGAAUGUGCAGUGUAGCGGUGAAAUGCUUAGAUAUUGCACAGAACACCGAUUGCGAAGGCAGCUUACUAAAGUGGUAUUGACGCUGAUGCACGAAAGCGUGGGGAUCGAACAGGAUUAGAUACCCUGGUAGUCCACGCUGUAAACGAUGUUCACUCGCUGUAUGCGAUAUACCGUAUGCGGCCAAGCGAAAGCAUUAAGUGAACCACCUGGGGAGUACGCCGGCAACGGUGAAACUCAAAGGAAUUGACGGGGGCCCGCACAAGCGGAGGAACAUGUGGUUUAAUUCGAUGAUACGCGAGGAACCUUACCUGGGCUUAAAUGUAGAGUGCAUGUUGUGGGAACACGCUUCCCUUCGGGGCUCUUUACAAGGUGCUGCAUGGUUGUCGUCAGCUCGUGCCGUGAGGUGUCGGGUUAAGUCCCAUAACGAGCGCAACCCCUACUGUUAGUUGCCAUCAGGUUAAGCUGGGCACUCUAGCGGGACUGCCACCGUAAGGUGAGAGGAAGGUGGGGAUGACGUCAAAUCAGCACGGCCCUUAUGUCCAGGGCUACACACGUGUUACAAUGGUCGGUACAAAGGGCAGCUACCCCGCGAGGGGAUGCUAAUCUCGAAAGCCGGU
Molecule: ribosomal RNA, 1217 nt
Filed under: uncultured bacterium
Lineage: Bacteria
Description: bacterial SSU rRNA
Rfam family: Bacterial small subunit ribosomal RNA
Source: RNAcentral